Molecule: transfer RNA, 85 nt
Filed under: Bdellovibrionales bacterium
Lineage: Bacteria; Pseudomonadati; Bdellovibrionota; Bdellovibrionia; Bdellovibrionales
Also listed under: 1 other name
Description: tRNA-Leu
Rfam family: tRNA
About the family: Transfer RNA (tRNA) molecules are approximately 80 nucleotides in length.
Source: RNAcentral
GGCCCUGUGGCGGAAUCGGUAGACGCGCCUGAUUCAAAAUCAGGUAUCCUCGGAUGUGGGAGUUCAAGUCUCCCCGGGGCCACCA